RNAcentral lists this non-coding RNA (25 nucleotides) under Mus musculus (house mouse). Lineage: Eukaryota; Metazoa; Chordata; Mammalia; Rodentia; Muridae. The record is from RNAcentral.
UCAAUGGGAAUCCCAUCGUGAGUGU